RNAcentral lists this ribosomal RNA (255 nucleotides) under uncultured bacterium. RNAcentral describes it as "partial 16S ribosomal RNA". It matches the Rfam family "Bacterial small subunit ribosomal RNA", at positions 526 to 779 of the family's 1533-position model. The record is from RNAcentral.
CGGAGGAUGCGAGCGUUAUCCGGAUUUAUUGGGUUUAAAGGGUGCGUAGGUGGUGAUUUAAGUCAGCGGUGAAAGUUUGUGGCUCAACCAUAAAAUUGCCGUUGAAACUGGGUUACUUGAGUGUGUUUGAGGUAGGCGGAAUGCGUGGUGUAGCGGUGAAAUGCAUAGAUAUCACGCAGAACUCCGAUUGCGAAGGCAGCUUACUAAACCAUAACUGACACUGAAGCACGAAAGCGUGGGGGAUCAAACAGGAUU